CAGCCGCCGCGGUAAUACGAAGGGGGCUAGCGUUGCUCGGAAUUACUGGGCGUAAAGGGAGCGUAGGCGGAUCGUUUAGUCAGGGGUGAAAUCCCGGGGCUCAACCUCGGAACUGCCUUUGAUACUGGCGAUCUUGAGUAUGGGAGAGGUGUGUGGAACUCCGAGUGUAGAGGUGAAAUUCGUAGAUAUUCGGAAGAACACCAGUGGCGAAGGCGACACACUGGCCCAUUACUGACGCUGAGGCUCGAAAGCGUGGGGAGCAAACAGGAUUAGAUACCCCGGUAGUCCCUGUCUCUUAUAC
This 301-nucleotide ribosomal RNA is filed under the name uncultured bacterium. RNAcentral's name for it is "partial 16S ribosomal RNA". It matches the Rfam family "Bacterial small subunit ribosomal RNA", at positions 509 to 807 of the family's 1533-position model. The record is from RNAcentral.